AACCUGCCUUUAGGUUCGGAAUAACUCAGAGAAAUUUGAGCUAAUACCGGAUAAUGUCUUCGGACCAAAGAUUUAUCGCCUUUAGAUGGGCCCGCGUUGGAUUAGCUAGUUGGUGGGGUAAAGGCCUACCAAGGCGACGAUCCAUAGCUGGUCUGAGAGGAUGAUCAGCCACACUGGGACUGAGACACGGCCCAGACUCCUACGGGAGGCAGCAGUGGGGAAUAUUGGACAAUGGGCGAAAGCCUGAUCCAGCAAUGCCGCGUGAGUGAUGAAGGCCUUAGGGUUGUAAAGCUCUUUUACCCGAGAUGAUAAUGACAGUAUCGGGAGAAUAAGCUCCGGCUAACUCCGUGCCAGCAGCCGCGGUAAUACGGAGGGAGCUAGCGU
This 384-nucleotide ribosomal RNA is filed under the name uncultured bacterium. RNAcentral describes it as "bacterial SSU rRNA". It matches the Rfam family "Bacterial small subunit ribosomal RNA", at positions 123 to 541 of the family's 1533-position model. The record is from RNAcentral.